UGUGGGGUGAAUGCAAGGGAGCCCCACAAGCCCAGAGUCACAUAAAUCCCAAGAUUAGAAGAGAGCAAGCUUCUUUGUCCAGAGAAUUAAGUAUCCCACAUUUUUGCGCCCUUGCAGUGGCCACACCCAUUCUGGCCGGCCACCUCUGUCCCUAGGUGUGAUUGGUAGCAACCACCUUCGCUAGUCCUUCCAACUUUACUGGGUAUGUGUCUGUCUGCUCUUGUUGGACCCCUGGAGGGUAAAGUUGUAAUUUCCUGGUAAAGCUGCCUAAAUGACAUGCUUGUAAUAUCUGGCUCCCCACUUUGCUCCUUUCCUAUUAUUAAUAACUAGGUUAAUUACAGCGGUUUCAGCUUGUUAAGUUUCUUUAUAUCUUGGAUGGCACGGUUGAGAUUAUGAUUGGCCAAAAAGGGACAAAGUGAAUGAUGAGGAAGAAUAGGAUGAUCAUAUGUCCAAGAGAGUCUUCAACUUUGGGCCAUUUCUGUUCUUAUAUUUAUGAUUUAAAGUAUUUAAAAUAUUUCCAAGUGCUUAUUUUAGGAUAUAUAAUUUCAUUUGAAAUGUGGUGUUAGAUUUGCUCAGCUUUAUGGUUGAUUUUUUUUAGGGGCCUAUUUUCAUCAACAGAAAUACUUGAUUCAUAUGUUAUAGCAUUUUACAAUUGCUAGUUGUCUAACUUAGAAUGCUCGCUUUCAUAUAUAUUUUAUGGAUAGGGUUCCUAAUUCAAGACUCUUCUGUCAGUUCUGAUGUAAAAUAAUCUAAGUAUAUUAUGAUUAUGUGAAAAAGAUGAAGUAACUUAGGGAAAUAUAUUUUUAGCAUUUGAUUGAAAAACAGCAAAUUCGUCGAAACCUGUUUGGCUCACACAGCAACUAAAACACAAUCACAGUGGUGUUUGGGAGGGUUUUUAAGAUCACCCCAGAUUCAGUGAUUCCCUAGGAC
This is a long non-coding RNA of Pipistrellus kuhlii (Kuhl's pipistrelle), 930 nucleotides long. RefSeq lists it as uncharacterized. The record is from RefSeq and is a predicted model, not a curated record. Lineage: Eukaryota; Metazoa; Chordata; Mammalia; Chiroptera; Vespertilionidae. The transcript is spliced from 3 exons.